Molecule: long non-coding RNA, 3065 nt
Organism: Phocoena sinus (vaquita)
Lineage: Eukaryota; Metazoa; Chordata; Mammalia; Artiodactyla; Phocoenidae
Source: Ensembl
AGUGAACAGAUCUCAUAGUAACAGAUGCCACAGUAAUUUCUUUAGUGGUAAUGUGUGCUCAGAGCUGAACUCAGUCCCUCCUGAGGCCAGCGAACCUGGAGGAAGAGAGUGGAUUCUUGGCCUCUUCUCAUAGAGCCAGGGCCCCUAGGUGCCCAUCAGAUGGCUCUCAGCCCUUCUUUCUCCAUCUCAGAGCGAGGCUGCGGUGAGGUCUCAGCUCGAGGCAGACUACAUCGACUGGCAAUUCGGGAGUUUCUCAAAGGAACCCCACAGCUACGUCUGUUCCAGGAACACAGAGGAACAGGGGCCCCUCAGUCUGGCUGACGUAAGGGAUGGAAGUGCCCCAGUGUUAGCCACACUCAGAAGGCAACAGGCUCGCUGAACUCCAGCUCGACCAUCUGGGAUCCUUGCCGACGGGGAGCAGACGGUUGUCGUUUUGUACAAUAACAGUCACAAACUAUAUAGUGAAACAUACUGAAAAUGUCCACAACGGCUCCACUGGGCACGGUGAGAUCUACCAAGCAUGAAUUUUUCUCAGCAAACUGCAUCUCUUCCGGGUUGGAGCACGUCUGGCCCCUGCUGUUGAUACCAAGGGUUGUUGAAACUUGUCUGUUGCUGAAACGUGAAUCCAAAGACCAACUCUGGAUGCCCGGGCCUUGGACACACCCAUUCCUGCGGGCGGGGUUGAAGGGAAAUGGUACCACUGCAUUCCUCGUGAUUAAAUCCUCUAUCAGGUCAUAGAGUUCAAACAAAACACUCAAAACAGGGAGAGGCGGGGAGAAACCACAGCUCUCCCAGCUCAGGAUAAUUAUUUCUUAGCACACAUUGGAGUAUCCUUGGUGAGAAAGCAUGGCGGCAUUAUUGGUUUGCCCACUUGCAAGUUUUUGGAGCUCACCCUAACCUAAUUAAGUGUCUGUUUACCCUUAGGCCUGGCACUCUCUCUGGGUGAAGUGACAGCUGGAACGCUGCAAGCAGCCACAUGAAGGGCAAAAUAUUGGUUGGUUGCUGCUGUUUUCAGCCUUGCCAGAGUAAACAAUGAGGGGCUUAGCCCUAUCGGCUCAUUAAUCUUCAAAGAUGCUGGCCUACACGUGUCACUGCUCAUGGUCUGAGACAGUGGUGUGGGCUUGAUGAAGAAUACAGGUUGGGGGAAGGUGCUGGAGCUGACCUGUUCCACCUGAAUCAGAGGAGCCGGGGGGGAUUACAUGUUUGGUCCUAUUUAAGCAAAUGUACAAAGCAGUGUCGUCAGCCUUAUAGUGUAUACAGGCACCACCUCUAGAAAUUCAUUGACAUGUGGAUUUUUGCUGCACCCUCAGAGAUUCUGAAUCCAGUUUUGGGGGACACAGGACUCUGCAUUCUUUUUUAAGUUCUUUUUUUUUUUUGAUGUGUACCAUUUUUAAAGUCGUUAUUUAAUUUGCUACAAUAUUGCUUCUGUUUUAUGUUUUUGGUGUUUUGGCCACAAGGCAUGUGGGAUCUUAGCUCCCAGACCAGGGAUCGAACCUGUACCCCCUGCAUUGGAAGGCGAAGUCUUAACCACUGGACUGCCAGGGAAGUCCUGGAAUCUGCAUUUACAAGCAUUUUACCAUUUGAUUCAGAUGAAGAUGGUUUGAGAAGUACUAGUUUAAAGAAUAGAGAGUCGAGAAUGUUAGAACUGAAUAUAAUCCUGGAAGACUGUUUCUAAUUUUAAAGAUAAUUUAACAUUUAGCAGCAAAGGGACAGGACCCAUGAAAGCAAGCUAUACAAUCUUAUUGAAAGACGCAAAACAAACACCAAAAGAAACUGGGAGGUUUACCUUGUGUGUGAUGGGAGACUUUAUAAUCAUCAAAGAGAGAGAAGCAGAGAUAGAGAGAGAGAUUUACAUACAUAGAGUCAUGAAAGCAUGCACUCCAAAGUGGUAUCUUCAGAUAAGACUGAAGGAGAAACAGAUGAGAUUAGUAACCUUCUUCUUGGUUAGCUUUAGAUUCUAGGCAUCAUGCAUGAAGAGACUUGUCAAAUUUUAAUAUGAGGGUUGUCUUUCCACUUUGUUUAUGGUUUCCUUUUCUGGGCAAAAGCUUUUAAGUUUCAUUAGGUCCCAUUUGUUUAUUUUUGUUUUUAUUUCCAUUUCUCUAGGAGGUGAGGAUCUUACUGUGAUUUAUGUCAUAGAAUAUUCUGCCUAUGUUUUCCUCUAAGAGCAUUAUAGUGUCUGGCCUUACAUUUAGGCCUUUAAUCCAUUUUGUUUAUUUUUGUGUAUGGUGUUAGGAAGUGUUCUAAAUUCAUUCUUUUACAUGUAGCUGUCCAGUUAUUCCCAGCACCACUUAUUGAAGAGGCUGUCUUUUCUCCACUGUAUACUCUUGCCUCCUUUAUCAAAGAUAAGGUGACCAUAUGUGCGUGGGCUUAUCUCUGGGCUUUCUACCCUGUUCCAUUGAUCUAUAUUUCUGUUUUUGUGCCAGUACCAUACUGUCUUGAUUACUGUAGCUUUGUAGUAUAGUCUGAAGUUAGAAUGGGAUAAAAUAUUUUCAAACAAAGCAACUGACAAAGGAUUAAUCUCCAAAAUAUACAAGCAGCUCAUGCAGUUCAGUAUCAAAAAAACAAACAACCCAAUCCAAAAAUGGACAGAAGACCUAAAUAGACAUUUCUCCAAAGAAGAUAUAUAGAUUGCCAACAAACACAUGAAAGGAUGCUCAACAUCACUAAUCAUUAGAGAAAUGCAAAUCAAAACUACAAUGAGGUAUCACCUUACACAAGUCAGAAUGGCCAUCAUCAAAAAAUCUACAAACAAUAAAUGCUGGAGAGGGUGUGGAGAAAACGGAACCCUCUUGCAGAGUUGGUGGGAAUGUAAGUUGGUACAGCCACUAUGGAGAACAGUAUAGAGGUUCCUUACAAAACUAAAAAUAGAACUACCAUGUGACCCAGCAAUCCCACUACUGGGCAUAUACCCUGAGAAAACCAUAAUUCAAAAAGAGACAUGUACCACAAUGUUCGUUGCAGCACUAUUUACAAUAGCCAGGACAUGGAAGCAACCUAAGUUUCCAUCAAUAGAUGAAUGGAUAAAGAAGAUGUGGCACAUAUAUACAAUGGAAUAUUAUUCAGCA